GCCAAACAGCUAGCUUAAAAACCAAAACAAAACCAACAACAUAUAUUAUUUUACUUAACCCCAAUUAACUAAACUAAAUCAUUCUUCCGCCUUAGUACGGGCGACGGAAAAGGCACUUAUAAAGCAAUAGACAAAGUACCGCAAGGGAAAGCUGAAAGAGAAAUGAAACAAACCAUUCAAGCCCUAAAAAGCAGAGACUAACUCUCGUACCUUUUGCAUCAUGAUUUAGCCAGUAAACCUGAGCAAAGAGAACUUUAGUUCAAAACCCCGAAACCAAGUGAGCUACCCCGAGACAGCCUAUUUUAGGGCCAACCCGUCUCUGUGGCAAAAGAGUGGGAAGAUCUCCAGGUAGCGGUGACAGACCUACCGAACUUGGUGAUAGCUGGUUGCCUAGGAAAUGGAUAGAAGUUCAGCCUCGUACUCCUCAACUCAUACUUAUACUAUUUAUUUACGAGACCGAGAAAUAUACGAGAGUUAGUCAAAGGAGGUACAGCUCCUCUGAACCAGGACACAACCUGCCCAGGAGGUUAAGGAUCACACUCAAUAAGAUUACUGCUCCAGUGGGCCUAAAAGCAGCCACCUGCACAGAAAGCGUUAAAGCUCAGGCAGAACUCUAAAUCAAUUAUCCUGAUAAUUAUAUCCUAAACCCCUCCCCCUACUAGGCCAUUCCAUGCUAACAUGGAAGAGACCCUGCUAAAAUGAGUAAUAAGAAGGCACCCCCUUCUCCCGGCCCAUGUGUAAGUCAGACCGGACCCACCACUGACAAUUAACGAACCCAACACCAGAGGGAAACGCGACCAGAAUAAAAACACAAGAAAACUCCGCACUACCCAAAUCGUUAACCCCACACUGGAGCGCCACCAAGGGAAAGACUAAAAGAAAAGGAAGGAACUCGGCAAACACAAGCCUCGCCUGUUUACCAAAAACAUCGCCUCCUGCAAAAAUCAAUGUAUAAGAGGUCCUGCCUGCCCAGUGACUAUUAGUUAAACGGCCGCGGUAUUUUGACCGUGCUAAGGUAGCGCAAUCACUUGUCUUUUAAAUGAAGACCUGUAUGAAUGGUGGAACGAGGGCUUAACUGUCUCCCUUCUCCAGUCAAUGAAAUUGAUCUGCCCGUGCAGAAGCGGGCAUAUAUAUACAAGACGAGAAGACCCUUUGGAGCUUAAGACAAAAGGCCAACCGUGUUAAAGACCCAAAUAAAAUGAAAUCAAACAAAACGGCAACUGACCAGCGUCUUCGGUUGGGGCGACCACGGGGGAAAAUAAAGCCCCCAUGUGGAAUGGGGUAAUCCCUAAAACUAAGAGAGACAUCUCUAAGCCACAGAAUAUCUGACCAAAAGAUCCGGCCUACCAGCCGAUCAACGAACCAAGUUACCCUAGGGAUAACAGCGCAAUCCCCUCCAAGAGUUCAUAUCGACGAGAGGGUUUACGACCUCGAUGUUGGAUCAGGACAUCCUAAUGGUGCAGCCGCUAUUAAGGGUUCGUUUGUUCAACGAUUAAAGUCCUACGUGAUCUGAGUUCAGACCGGAGCAAUCCAGGUCAGUUUCUAUCUGUAAAGCUACUUUUCCUAGUACGAAAGGACCGGAAAAAUGAGGCCUCUACCCAAAGUACGCCUCACUCUAACUUAAUGAAACCAACUAAAUUAAAUAAAAGAAGAGCAACCCCAGACCCAAGAUAAGGGAUC
RNAcentral lists this ribosomal RNA (1680 nucleotides) under Prochilodus lineatus (curimbata). RNAcentral describes it as "16S ribosomal RNA". It matches the Rfam family "Bacterial large subunit ribosomal RNA". The record is from RNAcentral. Lineage: Eukaryota; Metazoa; Chordata; Actinopteri; Characiformes; Prochilodontidae.